CAUCACUACGCUAGAUGCAUAUCAAUAAGCGGAGGAAAAGAAACUAACAAGGAUUCCCCUAGUAACGGCGAGUGAAGCGGGAAGAGCUCAAAUUUGAAAUCUUAAAAGGUUUUCCUUUUACGAAUUGUAGUUUAAAGAAGUGUUUUCUGUUGAAGUUUUGGUACAAGUUCUUUGGAAUAGGACAUCAUAGAGGGUGAGAAUCCCGUAUUUGACCUUAAUUUUUCAACUUUGUGAUACACUUUCAAAGAGUCGGAUUGUUUGGGAAUGCAGUCCAAAAUGGGUGGUAAAUUUCAUCUAAGGCUAAAUAUUGGCGAGAGACCGAUAGCGAACAAGUACCGUGAGGGAAAGAUGAAAAGAACUUUGAAAAGAGAGUUAAAUAGUACGUGAAAUUGUCAAAAGGGAAGCGUUUGGCACCAGUGUUGUUUUUCUAAAAAUCAAUUUAAAAUUUGCUUAUGUUAAGUGUUUUAGACUUAAUCGGCUAUACAUUUAAUUCUUUGUAAAUUUUGAAUGCACUUUUUAGUUAACAAGUCAACAUCAAUUUUUUUGCUGUAAAAAGAUAAGAGGAAGGUGGCUUGAGAUUCGUUUCAAGUGUUUAUAGCCUCUUGCCCAUGCAGUAGGAGAGAUUGAGGUCUGCAGCAUAGAUCCUUCGGGGCUAGAUGCUUUUGUGCUAGAAGCUAGUAUUAUAUAGACAACUUGUUGAUUAUGUAAUAUAUUAGUUUCUACUCGCUAAAGUUAUUUUACCUACGCUUAGGAUGUUGACUGAUAUGUAGUCGUA
Molecule: ribosomal RNA, 775 nt
Filed under: uncultured Neocallimastigales
Lineage: Eukaryota; Fungi; Neocallimastigomycota; Neocallimastigomycetes; Neocallimastigales
Description: partial large subunit ribosomal RNA
Rfam family: Eukaryotic large subunit ribosomal RNA
Source: RNAcentral